Molecule: ribosomal RNA, 433 nt
Filed under: uncultured bacterium
Lineage: Bacteria
Description: partial 16S ribosomal RNA
Rfam family: Bacterial small subunit ribosomal RNA
Source: RNAcentral
AACGAACGCUGGCGGCAUGCCUAACACAUGCAAGUCGAACGAAACCUUCGGGUCUAGUGGCGCACGGGUGCGUAACGCGUGGGAACCUGCCCUUAGGUGCGGAAUAACUCCCCGAAAGGGGUGCUAAUACCGGAUAAUGUCUUCGGACCAAAGAUUUAUCGCCUUUGGAUGGUCCCGCGUUGGAUUAGCUAGUUGGUAGGGUAAAAGCCUACCAAGGCGACGAUGCAUAGCUGGUCUGAGAGGAUGAUCAGCCACACUGGGACUGAGACACGGCCCAGACUCCUACGGGAGGGAGCAGUGGGGAAUAUUGGACAAUGGGCGAAAGCCUGAUCCAGCAAUGCCGCGUGAGUGAUGAAGGCCUUAGGGUUGUAAAGCUCUUUUAACCGGGAUGAUAAUGACAGUACCGGGAGAAUAAGCCCCGGCUAACUCCGUG